AGCGAACGUUUGCGGCGGGCCUAACACAUGCAAGUCGAACGCACUAGCAAUAGUGAGUGGCGCACGGGUGCGUAACACGUGGGUAAUCAACCCUUCAGCUUGGGAUAACGACUUGAAAGGGUCGCUAAUACCGGAUACGGCGCGGGAGGCUUCGGCUUCUCACGAGAAAGCCUCGCAAGGGGCACUGAAGGACGAGCCUGCGGCCCAUCAGCUAGUUGGUGAGGUAAGAGCUCACCAAGGCGAAGACGGGUAGCUGGUCUGAGAGGAUGAUCAGCCACACUGGAACUGAGACACGGUCCAGACUCCUACGGGAGGCAGCAGUGGGGAAUAUUGCGCAAUGGGCGAAAGCCUGACGCAGCCACGCCGCGUGAGCGAUGAAGGCCUUCGGGUCGUAAAGCUCUGUGGGGAGAGACGAAGAAAGACCCGUGAAGAGCGGGCCGUUGACGGGUAUCUCCUUAGCAAGCACCGGCUAACUCCGUGCCAACAGCCGCGGUAAU
Molecule: ribosomal RNA, 497 nt
Filed under: uncultured bacterium
Lineage: Bacteria
Description: bacterial SSU rRNA
Rfam family: Bacterial small subunit ribosomal RNA
Source: RNAcentral